This 408-nucleotide ribosomal RNA is filed under the name uncultured Glomus. Its description in RNAcentral is "SSU rRNA". It matches the Rfam family "Eukaryotic small subunit ribosomal RNA", at positions 569 to 981 of the family's 1831-position model. Lineage: Eukaryota; Fungi; Glomeromycota; Glomeromycetes; Glomerales; Glomeraceae. The record is from RNAcentral.
AGCAGCCGCGGUAAUUCCAGCUCCAAUAGCGUAUAUUAAAGUUGUUGCAGUUAAAAAGCUCGUAGUUGAAUUUCGGGAUCAAAUUGUUGGUCGUGCCUCGGUACGCACUGGUAUUAUUGGUUCCUACCUUCUGAAGAACCGCGAUGUCAUUAAUUUGGUGUCGUGGGGAAUCAGGACUGUUACUUUGAAAAAAUUAGAGUGUUUAAAGCAGGCUUACGCUUGAAUACAUUAGCAUGGAAUAAUGAAAUAGGACGUUUGAUUCUAUUUUGUUGGUUUUCUAGGAUUGACGUAAUGAUUAAUAGGGAUAGUUGGGGGCAUUAGUAUUCAAUUGUCAGAGGUGAAAUUCUUGGAUUUAUUGAAGACUAACUACUGCGAAAGCAUUUGCCAAGGAUGUCUUCAUUAAUCAAG